Molecule: ribosomal RNA, 442 nt
Filed under: uncultured bacterium
Lineage: Bacteria
Description: partial 16S ribosomal RNA
Rfam family: Bacterial small subunit ribosomal RNA
Source: RNAcentral
CCUACGGGAGGCAGCAGUGGGGAAUAUUGGGCAAUGGGCGAAAGCCUGACCCAGCAACGCCGCGUGAAGGAAGAAGGCUUUCGGGUUGUAAACUUCUUUUGACAGGGAAGAGCAGAAGACGGUACCUGUCGAAUAAGCCACGGCUAACUACGUGCCAGCAGCCGCGGUAAUACGUAGGUGGCAAGCGUUGUCCGGAUUUACUGGGGGUAAAGGGCGUGUAGCCGGGCUGACAAGUCAGAUGUGAAAUCCUGGGGCUCAACCCCCGAACGGCAUUUGAAACUGUUGGUCUUGAGUAUCGGAGAGGCAGGCGGAAUGUCUAGUGUAGGAGUGAAAUCCGUAGAUAUUAGAAGGAACACCAAUAGCGUAGGCAGGUUACUGGGACGGUUCUGACACUAAGGCACGAAAGCGUAGGGAGCAAACGGGAUUAGAUACCCUUGUAGUC